RNAcentral lists this ribosomal RNA (252 nucleotides) under uncultured soil bacterium. RNAcentral describes it as "partial 16S ribosomal RNA". It matches the Rfam family "Bacterial small subunit ribosomal RNA", at positions 26 to 287 of the family's 1533-position model. The record is from RNAcentral.
AGGACGAACGCUGGCGGCGUGCUUAACACAUGCAAGUCAAGGGGGCCCAGCAAUGGGCAACCGGCGAACGGGUGCGUAACACGUGAGCAACCUACCGAAAUGUGGGGGAUAGCCGGCCUAACGGCCGAGUAAUACCGCAUACGCUCUCGAUGAGGCAUUUCAUUGAGAGGAAACCUACGGGACAUUUCGAGGGGCUCGCGGCCUAUCAGCUAGUUGGCGAGGUAACGGCUCACCAAGGCAGCGACGGGUAGC